CGGAUUGCAGGCUGCAACCCGCCUGCAUGAAGUUGGAAUCGCUAGUAAUCGCGGAUCAGCAUGCCGCGGUGAAUACGUUCCCGGGCCUUGUACACACCGCCCGUCACACCAUGAGAGUCGGGAACACCCGAAGUCCGUAGCCUGACCGCAAGGGGGGCGCGGCCGAAGGUGGGUUCGAUAAUUGGGGUGAAGUCGUAACAAGGUACC
This 207-nucleotide ribosomal RNA is filed under the name uncultured bacterium. RNAcentral's name for it is "partial 16S ribosomal RNA". It matches the Rfam family "Bacterial small subunit ribosomal RNA", at positions 1294 to 1500 of the family's 1533-position model. The record is from RNAcentral.